UCCCCGAUAACUCAAUUGGUAGAGUGUUCGACUGUUAAUCGAAAUGUUCCUGGUUCGAGUCCAGGUCGGGGAG
RNAcentral lists this transfer RNA (73 nucleotides) under Chloroflexota bacterium. RNAcentral's name for it is "Chloroflexi bacterium tRNA-Asn". It matches the Rfam family "tRNA". From Rfam's summary of the family: Transfer RNA (tRNA) molecules are approximately 80 nucleotides in length. Their secondary structure includes four short double-helical elements and three loops (D, anti-codon, and T loops). Further hydrogen bonds mediate the characteristic L-shaped molecular structure. tRNAs have two regions of fundamental functional importance: the anti-codon, which is responsible for specific mRNA codon recognition, and the 3' end, to which the tRNAs corresponding amino acid is attached (by aminoacyl-tRNA synthetases). tRNAs cope with the degeneracy of the genetic code in two manners: having more than one tRNA (with a specific anti-codon) for a particular amino acid; and 'wobble' base-pairing, i.e. permitting non-standard base-pairing at the 3rd anti-codon position. The record is from RNAcentral. Lineage: Bacteria; Bacillati; Chloroflexota.